RNAcentral lists this ribosomal RNA (800 nucleotides) under uncultured bacterium. RNAcentral describes it as "bacterial SSU rRNA". It matches the Rfam family "Bacterial small subunit ribosomal RNA", at positions 35 to 843 of the family's 1533-position model. The record is from RNAcentral.
GGGGGGGGGGGGGCUGCUACACAUGCAAGUCGAACGGACUUAUAACGAAACCUAGUGAAUUAUAAGUUAGUGGCGCACUGAUGAGUAACGCGUGGAAAACCUGCCGUAUACUGGGGCCAUAACACUUAGAAAUAGGUGCUAAUACCGCAUAAGCGCACGGUUUCGCAUGGAACAGUGUGAAAAACUCCGGUGGUAUGGGAUGGACCCGCGUCUGAUUAGCUGGUUGGCGGGGUAACGGCCCACCAAGGCGACGAUCAGUAGCCGGCCUGAGAGGGUGAACGGCCACAUUGGGACUGAGACACGGCCCAAACUCCUACGGGAGGCAGCAGUGGGGAAUAUUGCACAAUGGGGGAAACCCUGAUGCAGCGACGCCGCGUGAAGGAAGAAGUAUUUCGGUAUGUAAACUUCUAUCAGCAGGGAAGAAAAUGACGGUACCUGACUAAGAAGCCCCGGCUAACUACGUGCCAGCAGCCGCGGUAAUACGUAGGGGGCAAGCGUUAUCCGGAUUUACUGGGUGUAAAGGGAGCGUAGGCGGCGAUGCAAGUCAGAAGUGAAAGCCCGGGGCUCAACUCCGGGACUGCUUUUGAAACUGUGUUGCUAGAUUGCAGGAGGGGUAAGUGGAAUUCCUAGUGUAGCGGUGAAAUGCGUAGAUAUUAGGAGGAACACCAGUGGCGAAGGCGGCUUACUGGACUGUAAAUGACGCUGAGGCUCGAAAGCGUGGGGAGCAAACAGGAUUAGAUACCCUGGUAGUCCACGCCGUNAACGAUGAAUACUAGGUGUUAGGGAGCAAAGCUCUUUGG